CAUGCAUGUCAUACCAAGAAUUCUUUCCAACUUUCCACAUCCCAUAAAUUUUAAAAAAUUAACAUCUCAAUCUUUGAGAUGUGUGCUGCCACACACAUCAGAAUCCCAAGGCAGAAGGACUCUUCCUUCUCCUCAUGCUAAAACGUGCACACCCAUAUCUUUUUGUUGAGAAUUAUGUUCCAAAAUCAAUCGUUAGUCUGU
RNAcentral lists this long non-coding RNA (201 nucleotides) under Elaeis guineensis (African oil palm). RNAcentral describes it as "long non-coding RNA (EGUI_LNC045638)". Lineage: Eukaryota; Viridiplantae; Streptophyta; Magnoliopsida; Arecales; Arecaceae. The record is from RNAcentral.